UACGAGGGGGGCAAAUGUUGUUCGGAAUUACUGGGCGUAAAGGGCGCGUAGGCGGCCUGCUAAGUCGAACGUGAAAUCCCCGGGCUCAACCCGGGAACUGCGUCCGAUACUGGCAGGCUUGAAUUCGGGAGAGGGAUGCGGAAUUCCAGGUGUAGCGGUGAAAUGCGUAGAUAUCUGGAGGAACACCGCUGGCGAAGGCGGCAUCCUGGACCGAAAUUGACGCUGAGGCGCGAAAGCCAGGGGAGCAAACGGG
This 253-nucleotide ribosomal RNA is filed under the name uncultured bacterium. Its description in RNAcentral is "partial 16S ribosomal RNA". It matches the Rfam family "Bacterial small subunit ribosomal RNA", at positions 524 to 776 of the family's 1533-position model. The record is from RNAcentral.